AUCCUAUAUAGAUGUAUUCAACGCAAGCUAGUUGGGCAUCUCCCUUUAGGAUGAAGUUUAGUUAGAGGCUCUGGCGAUAAUUCUCAUUGUGUGGCUACGGUCGAAAUGAGAUGAGUCAGAGUGGAAUAGGUUAACCGUAAGACCUUGGGUUGGAAAACUCUAAAAUUGAGCUAGAGAUGUGAAUUUCUUAAAAUUCGUAGUUUCUAGUUACGGUUGG
Molecule: non-coding RNA, 217 nt
Filed under: unclassified sequences
Description: IS605-orfB-I RNA
Rfam family: IS605-orfB-I RNA
Source: Rfam by way of RNAcentral